This 479-nucleotide ribosomal RNA is filed under the name uncultured bacterium. RNAcentral's name for it is "partial 16S ribosomal RNA". It matches the Rfam family "Bacterial small subunit ribosomal RNA", at positions 28 to 507 of the family's 1533-position model. The record is from RNAcentral.
GACGAACGCUGGCGGCGCGCUUAACACAUGCAAGUCGAGCGAUGAAAUUUCGACAGAUCCCUUCGGGGUGAAGAUGAAAUGGAUUAGCGGCGGACGGGUGAGUAACACGUGAGUAACCUGCCUUUGACAUUGGGAUAGCCUCGGGAAACUGGGAUUAAUACCAAAUGACACUAACUGAUCACAUGAUCAAUUAGUCAAAGAAAUUCGGUCAAAGAUGGACUCGCGGCUGAUUAGCUAGUUGGUGAGGUAACGGCCCACCAAGGCGACGAUCAGUAGCCGGCCUGAGAGGGUGAUCGGCCACAUUGGAACUGAGACACGGUCCAAACUCCUACGGGAGGCAGCAGUGGGGAAUAUUGCACAAUGGGGGAAACCCUGAUGCAGCGACGCCGCGUGAGCGAAGAAGGCCUUCGGGUCGUAAAGCUCUUUUAUGAGGGAAGAUAAUGACGGUACCGCAAGAAAAAGCCCCGGCUAACUACGUG